This 201-nucleotide non-coding RNA is filed under the name Sporomusa sphaeroides. The record is from RNAcentral. Lineage: Bacteria; Bacillati; Bacillota; Negativicutes; Selenomonadales; Sporomusaceae. RNAcentral also lists the same sequence under 1 other name.
AUAUAUUGCCACCAUACAGGUGCCUCUUAGUAAGCUAAGAGGAGAAUAGGGAAGUUCGGAAGGAUUCAUAAAUCCUUAAACGACGCGGUCGCGCCACUGUAAUCGGGAAAGAAUGCUUUUAUUAUGCCACCGGCAAGCGGGAAGGCAAGGGUGUUCUUAUGAACCGUAAGCCAGGAGACCUGCCUGUUUUGGCUGUUAUUU